RNAcentral lists this ribosomal RNA (253 nucleotides) under uncultured bacterium. Its description in RNAcentral is "partial 16S ribosomal RNA". It matches the Rfam family "Bacterial small subunit ribosomal RNA", at positions 524 to 776 of the family's 1533-position model. The record is from RNAcentral.
UACGGGGGGGGCAAGCGUUGUUCGGAAUUACUGGGCGUAAAGGGCUCGUAGGCGGCCAACUAAGUCAUACGUGAAAUCCCUCGGCUUAACCGGGGAACUGCGUCUGAUACUGGAUGGCUUGAGUUCGGGAGAGGGAUGCGGAAUUCCAGGUGUAGCGGUGAAAUGCGUAGAUAUCUGGAGGAACACCUAUUGCGAAGGCAGCUCGCUGGGACGUAACUGACGCUGAGACGCGAAAGCGUGGGGAGCAAACAGG